CACGCCCUAAACGAUGAUUACUCGACAUACGCGAUACACAGUGUGUGUCUGAGCGAAAGCAUUAAGUAAUCCACCUGGGAAGUACNUACGCGAGGAACCUUACCUGGGCUAGAAUGCCACUUGACCGGUCCUGAAAGGGAUUUUUGUAGCAAUACACAGGUGGUAAGGUGC
Molecule: ribosomal RNA, 171 nt
Filed under: uncultured bacterium
Lineage: Bacteria
Description: partial 16S ribosomal RNA
Source: RNAcentral